Long non-coding RNA from Hemicordylus capensis (graceful crag lizard), 482 nucleotides. RefSeq lists it as uncharacterized. The record is from RefSeq and is a predicted model, not a curated record. The transcript has 2 exons. Lineage: Eukaryota; Metazoa; Chordata; Lepidosauria; Squamata; Cordylidae.
UUAGGCAAGGUGCAGCUCUUACUAUCAUAACAGCAAGAGGAGGACAGAGAGGAAAUGAGGAAAGAAACUUUUAUUACUGGCCCCCAAACAUACAAGUCACUUUAAAUUGAUUCUGCUAAGCAUUAACACCUCCGAGGAAUGCCCAGAUUGCUGAGCCCCUUCUAAGCCUGGGGCUUUCACCGUGAGCUGCUCACAAAACACAAACAAUGUCUGAUCGGAGUGAAUCUUCCAGGAUCUGAAGUGCAAUUCUUAACAUAUCCUGACUUCUUUUGAAGCCAACUUCCUCUCCUCUGCUUCCUUCCUCUUAAGAAAAUAUGACAAAACUGAAUUCUGGCUACUACCAAGAGUUAUUUUAUUCUGCUUAAGAACUCCACUGUUUGUGCAGAAAACUGUUUUGAUCACACUGAAUUCUUCUUCAGGACAGCUGCCAAGGAAUCAAAACUUCUGAAAUGGAGUCAAUAAACUCCAAUUGUUAGACUGAA